CCUACGGGGUGCAGCAGUGAGGAAUAUUGGUCAAUGGACGAGAGUCUGAACCAGCCAAGUAGCGUGAAGGAUGACUGCCCUAUGGGUUGUAAACUUCUUUUAUAAAGGAAUAAAACGAGGCACGUGUGCCUUUUUGCAUGUACUUUAUGAAUAAGGAUCGGCUAACUCCGUGCCAGCAGCCGCGGUAAUACGGAGGAUCCGAGCGUUAUGCGGAGUGAUUGGGUUUAAAGGGAGCGUAGAUGGGUUGUUAAGUCAGUUGUGAAAGUUUGCGGCUCAACCGUAAAAUUGCAAUUGAUACUGGCAGUCUUGAGUACAGUUGAGGUAGGCAGAAUUCGUGGUGUAGCGGUGAAAUGCUUAGAUAUCACGAAGAACCCCGAUUGCGAAGGCAGCUUACUAGACUGUGACUGACAUUGAUGCUCGAAAGUGUGGGUAUCAAACAGGAUUAGAUACCCUAGUAGUC
RNAcentral lists this ribosomal RNA (460 nucleotides) under uncultured bacterium. RNAcentral's name for it is "partial 16S ribosomal RNA". It matches the Rfam family "Bacterial small subunit ribosomal RNA", at positions 338 to 795 of the family's 1533-position model. The record is from RNAcentral.